AUUCAGAGUUUGAUCCUGGCUCAGGAUGAACGCUGGCGGCGUGCCUAAUACAUGCAAGUCGAGCGAACAGACGAGGAGCUUGCUCCUCUGACGUUAGCGGCGGACGGGUGAGUAACACGUGGAUAACCUACCUAUAAGACUGGGAUAACUUCGGGAAACCGGAGCUAAUACCGGAUAACAUGUUGAACCGCAUGGUUCAACAGUGAAAGACGGUCUUGCUGUCACUUAUAGAUGGAUCCGCGCCGCAUUAGCUAGUUGGUAAGGUAACGGCUUACCAAGGCAACGAUGCGUAGCCGACCUGAGAGGGUGAUCGGCCACACUGGAACUGAGACACGGUCCAGACUCCUACGGGAGGCAGCAGUAGGGAAUCUUCCGCAAUGGGCGAAAGCCUGACGGAGCAACGCCGCGUGAGUGAAGAAGGUCUUCGGAUCGUAAAACUCUGUUAUUAGGGAAGAACAAAUGUGUAAGUAACUAUGCACGUCUUGACGGUACCUAAUCAGAAAGCCACGGCUAACUACGUGCCAGCAGCCGCGGUAAUACGUAGGUGGCAAGCGUUAUCCGGAAUUAUUGGGCGUAAAGCGCGCGUAGGCGGUUUUUUAAGUCUGAUGUGAAAGCCCACGGCUCAACCGUGGAGGGUCAUUGGAAACUGGAAAACUUGAGUGCAGAAGAGGAAAGUGGAAUUCCAUGUGUAGCGGUGAAAUGCGCAGAGAUAUGGAGGAACACCAGUGGCGAAGGCGACUUUCUGGUCUGUAACUGACGCUGAUGUGCGAAAGCGUGGGGAUCAAACAGGAUUAGAUACCCUGGUAGUCCACGCCGUAAACGAUGAGUGCUAAGUGUUAGGGGGUUUCCGCCCCUUAGUGCU
This 862-nucleotide ribosomal RNA is filed under the name uncultured Staphylococcus sp. Its description in RNAcentral is "bacterial SSU rRNA". It matches the Rfam family "Bacterial small subunit ribosomal RNA", at positions 1 to 847 of the family's 1533-position model. Lineage: Bacteria; Bacillati; Bacillota; Bacilli; Caryophanales; Staphylococcaceae. The record is from RNAcentral.